CCCUUGAUAGCUCAGUUGGUUAGAGUGUGGUAUGGAUAACACCAAGGUUGCAGGUUCGAUCCCCAUAAGGGA
Molecule: non-coding RNA, 72 nt
Organism: Podarcis lilfordi (Lilford's wall lizard)
Lineage: Eukaryota; Metazoa; Chordata; Lepidosauria; Squamata; Lacertidae
Source: the annotation of a GenBank genome assembly